UAGGGAGUGGUGGUGGAGAUGACAUCCCCGGUGAAGGUGAGCAGGGAGAGGAGGAGGAGGAAGAUGGCAGCCAUGGAAAAAGGGGCAAAAGUGAAGGCUUCAACAGAGGAUUUGGGUGGUAGGAAGCAGUGAUUACAUGAUGAUUGUGGUAGGUUUGGAAGGAAAUGUCAUAGUACUGUCAUUCUUCCGACUCAUGUUACUUUAUUUCGAUAUAUUUUAAUCUAAAACAUUUAUUUCUCCUUAUAUUAAUAUACUUUUUUUUAAUAAAAACAAAAAUAAAAGACUGAUACACUAUCUACAAUAGUUUUUAUUGUUAUUAUUAUUAUUAUUAUUAUUAUUUUUAGAAAUAUGCAAAAUUGCAAAAUUGAUCCAUGAGGCUUUACAUUUUCUUGGAUUUGGUCUAAUAUUAUACCAACUUGCAAAUUUAGUCUCCAAAAUAAUGUUUUCUUGUGGUUUGGUCCCUAAAGAUAACAAUUGUUAAUUCUUAUCGUUAUCUCAUCUCAUGUGCCCAUAUAUUUUUUGAUUUGUAUAUAUUUAGUCACUGAGUUUUUUUGUUCAUAUUUUCUCGUUGAACUAUUCAAAAAACAUCUAUAUGACCUGCUAUCGUGUAGCAUCCUUCUCUGGCACGUAUCACAAUAUUGUUCGCUUUUGGCUCCAGACACAAAACCUUCUCAGGGGUCACCCCUCCCCGAAUUGAUCUCACCCGAACACGCGUAACUGCAUAUUUAUCUAUUUAUCAAACAUUUUAAGUAUGGUUGUACUUACAAUUUAUCCAUCCAUCAAACAUUUUAACUAUGUAAUUACUUAUGAUUUAUCUAUUGAGCAAACAUUUCAAGUAUGGAUUUACUUAUGAUUUAUUCGACCCUUUUAAGUCAUUAUCCCUAUUUUUGUAAAGACUAAUAAUAUACCCAUUACAUGGAUCAUUUGUAAAAUUUUGUCUUUUUAUAAAUAGUCUAUGCCAUCUUUUAAAAUCCAGGUUUUAGUCCUUAACCUUUUUUUUUUAUGGCAGGUCCAUGUAACUUUAAUUUCUACUGUGAUUGGUCCUUGGGACACACACUUGACUUCCUGACAAUUGUGUCCAAAAUCCUGAAACACACCUUUGACUUCCUGACAAGUCAUCACCAACUCGCUGUUUCCACGAGCAUAAUGAUGGUCCAUCCAAGAUUCUCACGUUGCAUCCAAAUCCCUUAUCAGCUCAGGUGCAUAUCCACAUAGUCAUUUCACUUGCCUUUCUUAUCUCUUAUCUCUAUCUUUAUCCUGAAGAUGCCAAGGCCUAGACCAAGACCAUUUGAAUUUGUGAGAAGAUCUUGGCACAAUGAGAGAUAUCAACCCAAAUAGCCAAGUUAAGGACUAGAUUGCCAUUAAUGUAAAUGCAUCAAUACCUUGCAUUGAUAUCCUCACAGCAGUAUAAAUAUCGGAAGUAUUAGUGGGACACCGGCAAGAGCCAAAGUAGUUGGUUUCUUUAAACGAUAGGUUCCCAGAUCAACAACAGGAGCGCCUUCCGAUAAAACGGUAGAACCGUAGAAAUAAAACUCAAAAUCGUUUGUCAAUUUGAAAUCUUCUUGCAUCGAUCAAGGAACCAACAAUCGCUCUAUCUCAUGGAUCAACAAUUUUGAAUUCGUCAACACAAAGCAUUUGAUAGCGAACAACUUCCU
This 1655-nucleotide long non-coding RNA is filed under the name Lactuca sativa (garden lettuce). RNAcentral describes it as "long non-coding RNA (LSAT_LNC001934)". The record is from RNAcentral. Lineage: Eukaryota; Viridiplantae; Streptophyta; Magnoliopsida; Asterales; Asteraceae.